AGCCCCCAGAGCCCACAGAUCACACCUGUACCUCUUCUUGAAGCAGAGCACCAGAGCCAACAGAGCUCACCUGUACCUCCUGUUCAAGCAGAAUAUGAGCACGGAGAUCGCCAGCCGGCAUUCAUGGAACCACAUGCACGUCAUGGAUCGAGUCUGCAAAUUGACGCGCCA
Molecule: long non-coding RNA, 171 nt
Organism: Rhipicephalus sanguineus (brown dog tick)
Lineage: Eukaryota; Metazoa; Arthropoda; Arachnida; Ixodida; Ixodidae
Exons: 4
Source: RefSeq, a predicted model, not a curated record